RNAcentral lists this ribosomal RNA (253 nucleotides) under uncultured bacterium. RNAcentral describes it as "partial 16S ribosomal RNA". It matches the Rfam family "Bacterial small subunit ribosomal RNA", at positions 524 to 776 of the family's 1533-position model. The record is from RNAcentral.
UACGAAGGGGGCUAGCGUUGUUCGGAUUUACUGGGCGUAAAGCGCACGUAGGCGGAUCGUUAAGUCGGGGGUGAAAUCCUGGAGCUCAACUCCAGAACUGCCUUCGAUACGGGCAGGCUCGAGUUCGGUAGGGGAGACUGGAAUUCCUGGUGUAGCGGUGAAAUGCGCAGAUAUCAGGAGGAACACCGGUGGCGAAGGCGGGUCUCUGGGCCGAUACUGACGCUGAGGAGCGAAAGCGUGGGGAGCGAACAGG